This 460-nucleotide ribosomal RNA is filed under the name uncultured bacterium. RNAcentral describes it as "SSU rRNA". It matches the Rfam family "Bacterial small subunit ribosomal RNA", at positions 26 to 518 of the family's 1533-position model. The record is from RNAcentral.
AGAAUCAACGCUGGCGGCGUGCCUAACACAUGCAAGUCGAACGAGAAAGUGGAGCAAUCCAUGAGUAAAGUGGCGCACGGGUGAGUAACACGUGACUAACCUACCCUUGAGUGGGGGAUAACCUAGAGAAAUCUGGGCUAAUACCGCAUAAUACCUUCGGGUCAAAGGAGCAAUUCGCUUAAGGAGGGGGUCGCGGCCGAUUAGUUAGUUGGCGGGGUAAUGGCCCACCAAGACUAUGAUCGGUAUCCGGCCUGAGAGGGCGCACGGACACACUGGAACUGAAACACGGUCCAGACUCCUACGGGAGGCAGCAGUGGGGAAUUUUGCGCAAUGGGGGAAACCCUGACGCAGCAACGCCGCGUGGAGGAUGAAGUCCCUUGGGACGUAAACUCCUUUCGAUCGGGACGAUUAUGACGGUACCGGAAGAAGAAGCCCCGGCUAACUUCGUGCCAGCAGCCGC